GACGAACGCUGGCGGCGUGCUUAACACAUGCAAGUCGAACGGAAAGGCCCUGCUUUUGUGGGGUGCUCGAGUGGCGAACGGGUGAGUAACACGUGAGUAACCUGCCCUUGACUUUGGGAUAACUUCAGGAAACUGGGGCUAAUACCGGAUAGGAGCUCCUGCUGCAUGGUGGGGGUUGGAAAGUUUCGGCGGUUGGGGAUGGACUCGCGGCUUAUCAGCUUGUUGGCGGGGUAGUGGCUUACCAAGGGUUUGACGGGUAGCCGGCCUGAGAGGGUGAACGGCGACAUUGGGACUAAGAUACGGCCCAGAGUCCUACAGGAGGCAGUAGUGGGGAAUAUUGCACAAUGGGCGGAAGCCUGAUACGGCAACGCCGCGUGCGGGAUGACGGCCUUCGGGUUGUGAACCGCUUUCGCCUGUGACGAAGCGUGAGUGACGGUAAUGGGUAAAGAAGCACCGGCUAACUACGUG
RNAcentral lists this ribosomal RNA (468 nucleotides) under uncultured bacterium. RNAcentral's name for it is "partial 16S ribosomal RNA". It matches the Rfam family "Bacterial small subunit ribosomal RNA", at positions 28 to 507 of the family's 1533-position model. The record is from RNAcentral.